Molecule: long non-coding RNA, 348 nt
Filed under: Brassica napus (rape)
Lineage: Eukaryota; Viridiplantae; Streptophyta; Magnoliopsida; Brassicales; Brassicaceae
Description: long non-coding RNA (BNAP_LNC009826)
Source: RNAcentral
GGCGAUUGAAAGUUAUAGUUAUAAUUUUAAAACAACACAAACAAUAUUAGUGUAAAAUAUAUAGUUUGAGCUAAUCAUUGUACAUUAUUUAUAAAAUCAGAUAAAUAUAUUUAAAAGUUAAGUGUUCGUAACAAAAUUAUUUAUUAUAAAAAAAAGCAGAUCUCCUGUUUUUUCCAUAAAAAAGAUAAAAAUAUUGAACUGCAUGCAGAUUUCCCGCUUAAACUGCUUUUGCAAACAGAAAAACGUGAAUGGCGAAUGUAUUAUGAGAGAACUGCACGUGGAGGAGAACUGCCCUUUCAUUCAUAACCUAAAUGCCUCCAAUCAUUCGAUAGAAAAUAAAAAACUAAA